UACAGAGGUCCCGAGCGUUGUUCGGAUUCACUGGGCGUAAAGGGUGCGUAGGCGGUUCUGAAAGUCUGAUGUGGAAUCUCCAGGCCCAACCUGGAAACUGCAUUAGAAACUACAGGGCUAGAGGCUUGGAGGGGGAACUGGAAUUCUCGGUGUAGCAGUGAAAUGCGUAGAGAUCGAGAGGAACACCAGUGGCGAAGGCGAGUUCCUGGACAAGUCCUGACGCUGAGGCACGAAAGCCAGGGGAGCAAACAGG
RNAcentral lists this ribosomal RNA (253 nucleotides) under uncultured bacterium. RNAcentral's name for it is "partial 16S ribosomal RNA". It matches the Rfam family "Bacterial small subunit ribosomal RNA", at positions 524 to 776 of the family's 1533-position model. The record is from RNAcentral.